UCCGCAGUAACUCAGUGGUAGAGCUAUCGGCUGUUAACCGAUCGGUCGUAGGUUCGAGUCCUACCUGCGGAG
Molecule: transfer RNA, 72 nt
Filed under: Bacillus sp. ISL-7
Lineage: Bacteria; Bacillati; Bacillota; Bacilli; Caryophanales; Bacillaceae
Description: tRNA-Asn
Rfam family: tRNA
About the family: Transfer RNA (tRNA) molecules are approximately 80 nucleotides in length. Their secondary structure includes four short double-helical elements and three loops (D, anti-codon, and T loops). Further hydrogen bonds mediate the characteristic L-shaped molecular structure. tRNAs have two regions of fundamental functional importance: the anti-codon, which is responsible for specific mRNA codon recognition, and the 3' end, to which the tRNAs corresponding amino acid is attached (by aminoacyl-tRNA synthetases). tRNAs cope with the degeneracy of the genetic code in two manners: having more than one tRNA (with a specific anti-codon) for a particular amino acid; and 'wobble' base-pairing, i.e. permitting non-standard base-pairing at the 3rd anti-codon position.
Source: RNAcentral